GACGAACGCUGGCGGCGUGCCUAAUACAUGCAAGUCGAACGCAGUGGGGACGGGUGAGUAACACGUGGGUAACCUCCCAUCAGAGGGGAUAACACUUGGAAACAGGUGCUAAACCGAUACUGAUGGAUGGACCCGCGGUGCAUUAGCUAGUUGGUGAGGUAACGGCGCACCAAGGCCACGAUGCAUAGCCUACCUGAGAGGGGUGUCGGCCACAUGGUGACUGGUACACGGCCCCGACUCCUACGGGAGGCAGAAGUAGGGAAUCUUCGGCAAUGGACGAAAGUCUGACCGAGCAACGCCGCGUGCGUUAAGAAGGUUUUCUGAUCGUAAAACUCUGUUGUUAGAGAAGCGGUAUCUAACCAGAAAGCCACGGCUAACUACGUGCCAGCAGCCGCGGUAAUUC
RNAcentral lists this ribosomal RNA (403 nucleotides) under uncultured bacterium. RNAcentral's name for it is "partial 16S ribosomal RNA". It matches the Rfam family "Bacterial small subunit ribosomal RNA", at positions 28 to 526 of the family's 1533-position model. The record is from RNAcentral.